GCAGUGAAGGUUCAGUGGUAGAAUUCUCGCCUUCCACGUGGGAGACCCGAGUUCAAUUCCUGGCAAUUGUA
RNAcentral lists this transfer RNA (71 nucleotides) under Loxodonta africana (African savanna elephant). It matches the Rfam family "tRNA". From Rfam's summary of the family: Transfer RNA (tRNA) molecules are approximately 80 nucleotides in length. Lineage: Eukaryota; Metazoa; Chordata; Mammalia; Proboscidea; Elephantidae. The record is from Rfam by way of RNAcentral.